UGCCAGCCGCCGCGGUAAUACGGAGGGUGCGAGCGUUAAUCGGAAUUACUGGGCGUAAAGCGUACGCAGGCGGUUUGUUAAGCGAGAUGUGAAAGCCCCGGGCUCAACCUGGGAACUGCAUUUCGAACUGGCAAACUAGAGUGUGAUAGAGGGUGGUAGAAUUUCAGGUGUAGCGGUGAAAUGCGUAGAGAUCUGAAGGAAUACCGAUGGCGAAGGCAGCCACCUGGGUCAACACUGACGCUCAUGUACGAAAGCGUGGGGAGCAAACGGGAUUAGAUACCCCGGUAGUCCACGCCGUAAACGAUGUCUACUAGAAGCUCGGAACCUCGGUUCUGUUUUUCAAAGCUAACGCAUUAAGUAGACCCGCCUGGGGAGUACCGCCGCAAGGUUAAAACUCAAAUGAAUUGACGGGGGCCCGCACAAGCGGUGGAGCAUGUGGUUUAAUUCGAUGCAACGCGAAGAACCUUACCUACACUUGACAUACAGAGAACUUCUAGAGAUAGAUUGGUGCCUUUCGGAGCUCUGAUACAGGUGCUGCAUGGCUGUCGUCAGCUCGUGUUGUGAGAUGUUGGUUAAGUCCCGCAACGAGCGCAACCCUUAUCUUGUUGCCAGCAGUAAUGCUGGGAACUCAAGGAGACUGCCGUGAUAACCGGAGAAGUGGGGACCGACGUCAAGUCAUCAUGGCCCUACGAGUAGGCUUACACACGUCUACAAUGGCGCAUACAGAGGCACAGCUUAGCGAUGUGAGCAAUUCCAAAAAG
Molecule: ribosomal RNA, 761 nt
Filed under: uncultured Pseudoalteromonas kps67f
Lineage: Bacteria; Pseudomonadati; Pseudomonadota; Gammaproteobacteria; Alteromonadales; Pseudoalteromonadaceae
Description: bacterial SSU rRNA
Rfam family: Bacterial small subunit ribosomal RNA
Source: RNAcentral